RNAcentral lists this ribosomal RNA (753 nucleotides) under uncultured bacterium. RNAcentral describes it as "bacterial SSU rRNA". It matches the Rfam family "Bacterial small subunit ribosomal RNA", at positions 56 to 809 of the family's 1533-position model. The record is from RNAcentral.
UGCAGUCGACGAUGAUCUGGUGCUUGCACUGGUGAUUAGUGGCGAACGGGUGAGUAACACGUGAGUAACCUGCCCUUAACUCUGGGAUAAGCCUGGGAAACUGGGUCUAAUACCGGAUAUGACUCCUCAUCGCAUGGUGGGGGGUGGAAAGCUUUUUGUGGUUUUGGAUGGACUCGCGGCCUAUCAGCUUGUUGGUGAGGUAAUGGCUCACCAAGGCGACGACGGGUAGCCGGCCUGAGAGGGCGAUCGGCCACACUGGGACUGAGACACGGCCCAGACUCCUACGGGAGGCAGCAGUGGGGAAUAUUGCACAAUGGGCGAAAGCCUGAUGCAGCGACGCCGCGUGAGGGAUGAAGGCCUUCGGGUUGUAAACCUCUUUCAGCAGGGAAGAAGCAGCUGGGUUUUCUCAGGUGUGACGGUACCUGCAGAAGAAGCACCGGCUAACUACGUGCCAGCAGCCGCGGUAAUACGUAGGGUGCAAGCGUUGUCCGGAAUUAUUGGGCGUAAAGAGCUUGUAGGCGGUUUGUCGCGUCUGCUGUGAAAUUUCGGGGCUCAACCCCGAACUUGCAGUGGGUACGGGCAGACUAGAGUGUGGUAGGGGAGACUGGAAUUCCUGGUGUAGCGGUGAAAUGCGCAGAUAUCAGGAGGAACACCGAUGGCGAAGGCAGGUCUCUGGGCCACUACUGACGCUGAGAAGCGAAAGCAUGGGGAGCGAACAGGAUUAGAUACCCUGGUAGAAUCACUAGUGAAUUC